GACGAACGCUGGCGGCGUGCUUAACACAUGCAAGUCGAACGGAAAGGCCCUGCUUUUGUGGGGUGCUCGAGUGGCGAACGGGUGAGUAACACGUGAGUAACCUGCCCUUGACUUUGGGAUAACUUCAGGAAACUGGGGCUAAUACCGGAUAGGAGCUCCUGCUGCAUGGUGGGGGUUGGAAAGUUUCGGCGGUUGGGGAUGGACUCGCGGCUUAUCAGCUUGUUGGUGGGGUAGUGGCUUACCAAGGCUUUGACGUAGCCGGCCUGAGAGGGUGACCGGCCACAUUGGGACUGAGAUACGGCCCAGACUCCUACGGGAGGCAGCAGUGGGGAAUAUUGCACAAUGGGCGGAAGCCUGAUGCAGCAACGCCGCGUGCGGGAUGACGGCCUUCGGGUUGUAAACCGCUUUCGCCUGUGACGAAGCGUGAGUGACGGUAAUGGGUAAAGAAGCACCGGCUAACUACGUG
Molecule: ribosomal RNA, 466 nt
Filed under: uncultured bacterium
Lineage: Bacteria
Description: partial 16S ribosomal RNA
Rfam family: Bacterial small subunit ribosomal RNA
Source: RNAcentral